This 243-nucleotide unclassified non-coding RNA is filed under the name Glomeraceae sp. Its description in RNAcentral is "partial contains 5.8S ribosomal RNA and internal transcribed spacer 2". The stretch from base 1 to 65 matches the Rfam family "5.8S ribosomal RNA", at positions 84 to 154 of the family's 154-position model. The record is from RNAcentral. Lineage: Eukaryota; Fungi; Glomeromycota; Glomeromycetes; Glomerales; Glomeraceae.
GUGAAUCAUCGAAUUUUUGAACGCAAAUUGCACUCUCUUCGGAGAGUAUGCCUGUUUGAGGGUCAGUAUAAUCAAAAUCGGAGCGAUGCUUUUUGGGUGACGCACCGGAGUUUGGGUCAUCUAACUUUUUUUUUUUAGGAAACCUAAAAUUACAAUCUUUUUUUGUUCCUUUUUGAGAGGUACAUAUUUUUUUUUUUUUCUUUUCCCUUGGUGCCAAAAUUUUUUUUGAAUCGUGAAUCACGU